Molecule: ribosomal RNA, 492 nt
Filed under: uncultured bacterium
Lineage: Bacteria
Description: partial 16S ribosomal RNA
Rfam family: Bacterial small subunit ribosomal RNA
Source: RNAcentral
AGUGAACGCUGGCGGUAGGCCUAACACAUGCAAGUCGAACGACAGCACAGUAAGCUCUCUCCCUUACGGGUGGCGACUGACGGACGGGUGAGGAAUACAUAACCUUCCUCUUAUUCGUGGGUGACAUCGUAGGGCCACUUACGCUACCACCUCAUACGUCCUACGGGAGAAUGCAAGAGUUCAACGGAGCUUGCCUGUUACUUUGAGACGAUGUCGGAUUAGCUAGUUGGCGGGGUAAGGUCCCACCAAGGCGACGAUCCGUAGCUGGUCUGAGAGGAUGAUCAGCCACACUGGAACUGAGACACGGUCCAGACUCCUACGGGAGGCAGCAGUGGGGAAUAUUGGACAAUGGGCGCAAGCCUGAUCCAGCCAUACCGCGUGAGUGAAGAAGGCCUUCGGGUUGUAAAGCCCUUUUGUUGGGGAAGAAAAGCAGCAGGUGAAUACCCCGCUGUUCUGACGGUACCCAAAGAGUAAGCACCGGCUAACUUCGUG